GACUUUUAUUUUGAAACCAGACCUCUUUUGGCGUGCUUGUACAUUCAUAUAGCGAGGUUACAUGUGAUUAUUGUUAUUUUUAAAUAUGUAUUUCCUUCCAUACGUUACUCUGUAAUAGCGCAGGUAAAAUAAAAGUGCAACUAAUUUAGCCGGAAAUUCAUAACGCCUUCAAACAUUUUACCUCAGGAAUAUUCUUGAAUCUUGUUAGCAUCUUUGCUAGGCGUUUAGACUCAGCCAGACACCACUGGGUUAUUAACUUCCGGUCCAGGACUGAUUUAUUAAAAUAAAAUUAAUUGUAAUAAAUUUUCCAUUUCCGUCAGAAAUGAAAGCUGCAGGGAGUCUCAGACUCUUUAUGUUUAGCGUUUAUAAAAGUUUAUCUCGACGCGCGCGCGACUAUCACCGACGUUAUUGCUCCACAGGCGCGACUCCAACGGUUACCCAGGAUGAGAGCAGGCUGGGGGAAUUUAAAACCAGACUACGGUCCGGCCCGGGUUUUACCAACUUUAUUAAACAUUCUUCUGCAAAUAAGAACAAAGUUCAUGAAUAUGAAGAGCCAUAUCUUCCAGAAAACUCUGCGGAGGCAAAUCAACGCAAAGUGUAUUUUGAAACGUACGGCUGUCAAAUGAAUGUGAAUGACACGGAAAUCGCCUGGUCCAUUCUUCAGAAAGGAGGCUACCAAAGGACAGCUGAUCUCUCAGAGGCAGACGUGGUACUGCUUGUCACCUGCUCCAUAAGGGAAAAAGCAGAGCAGGUGAUCUGGAACAGACUCAAACAGCUUGGAGUCCUCAAAAAGAAGCGGCCGAAGGAUGAUGUCCCGUUAAAAAUAGGAGUACUGGGCUGCAUGGCAGAGCGACUGAAGACCGAGCUGUUAGAAAGGGAGAAGGUGGUGGACGUCAUAGCAGGACCCGACGCUUACAGAGACCUACCACGACUCCUGUCUCUCGCUCAUGGAGGUCAGCGAGCCAGCAACGUCCUGCUUUCUCUGGAGGAGACCUACGCUGAUGUAAUGCCGAUCCAUCGUGCAGGACACAGCGCUUUUGUGUCCAUUAUGCGUGGCUGUGACAACAUGUGCAGCUACUGUAUCGUGCCUUUCACUCGCGGGAGAGAGCGGAGCAGACCCAUGUCCUCCAUACUGGAAGAAGUGCGCAGGCUUUCUGACCAAGGAGUGAAGGAGGUGACUCUGUUAGGGCAGAACGUGAACAGCUACAGGGACGUCUCUGAGACGCAGAUCAGCACCUCGGGGCUGGUUUCAGAUCUCAGUCGGGGUUUCAACACGGUGUAUCGCAAAAAGCAUGGAGGCCUACGUUUCGCUGAUCUUCUGGACCGGGUCUCCACAAUCGAUUCUGACAUGAGGAUACGCUUCACCUCUCCACAUCCCAAAGACUUUCCGGAUGAGGUAUUAGAGUUGAUCCAGGAGAGGAACAACAUCUGUAAGCAGAUCCACCUCCCAGCUCAGAGCGGCAGCAGUCGGGUUUUACAAUCCAUGAGACGCGGCUACACCAGGGAGGCGUACCUGGACUUGGUGGAAAACGUUCGAAAGAUAAUCCCAGGGGUCAGUCUGAGCAGUGACUUCAUCGCCGGGUUCUGUGGUGAGACGGAGGAGGAGCACCAGCAGACGCUGUCUCUGGUCAGGGAGGUGGGUUACAACGUAGGCUUCCUGUUUGCCUACAGCAUGAGGAAGAAAACGCACGCGUACCACCGUCUCCAAGACGACGUCCCUGCCGAGGUAAAGCAGAGGCGUUUGGAAGAGCUCGUAUCCGUGUUCCGAGAGGAAGCUGCUAAAGUGAACGCAGCUCUCACAGGGAGCACGCAGCUCGUCCUAGUGGAGGGAGAGAGUAAAAGGUCACCUGAGGAUCUUUGCGGUCGGAAUGACGGCAACGUCAAAGUGAUUUUUCCCAGAAAGGAUCUGCCCUCUGAUCCCACAGGAACUAUUACUGCCCCUGUUAAAGCGGGAGACUAUGUACUAGUGAAGAUUACUUCAGCGAACUCCCAGAGCCUACGAGGCCACGCCUUCAGCCACACCUCCCUGACUGGCAGUAGGAAAUGAACUUGUGAGCGGCAUAGUAAGGAACAGGCCACUGGACCUUAACAAGGACUUCCCAAACAAGGAGGCCGAGCACUCCGCCAUUGUUGUACACGAAGCUGAGAGACUAUGUACAGAUAAGGACUAUGUCAGUGAACUCCCAGAGCCUGCGAGGAGGCCAUGCUCUGAGCCACACCUCUUUGAGUGACAACAGGAAAUGGACUUGUGAACAGCAUCGUAAUGAACAGGCCGCUAUAUGUUAACAUGUUCCUUAGGCGUUGGAUGGAGUUGGUGGGGGCAAAAAAAAAACAGACAUAGAAAUAUCAUGUUUAUUUAUUUAUUGAUGAAUUUGUAUAAAGGUCAUGGAUAGUUGUAAAGAAAGGAAGCAAACAGUUUUGUUUGUAAAAGGAAUCCACUGUUAGUAGACAUCAGGUAAGGCCUAUCCGGUGAACUGGACGUCUGUCCCGAUUAACACAUAAUCCUAGCCAAAUGUUCAGAAUCAAGGAUUAGAUACAUUUAUUAAAAAGGGCAUCUGUUAUAAAGUUGACCAAAUUUCAUUCUCGUACCUUCAGGAUCUGUAGCUGAGUGUUGACCAGAUUCAUGUUUCCGAUGGCAGGUAGAGGAUAACCUUGCCGUAGGAGAGCUGUCGAGAGCAUUUCAGAGAUUAAAAAAAAAAAUCAUAAAAGAAAUCUCAAUGCAUCAGAUUAUGUACUCACCGUUAACCACGGGUAUCACAACAGCUUUCAUGAUCAUGGUGAGAAAACUGUCGAGUGAUUUCACCUGUUGGACAUGAAAAUGAUUGGACAUUUAGAUUUAUGCUUCAGCAGAUGUAUUAAAAUUGGUCUGUUUGACCUUGUACCUGAAACGG
Ictalurus punctatus (channel catfish) is the source of this 2891-nucleotide RNA transcript. It is a transcript of the gene named CDK5 regulatory subunit associated protein 1, with no coding region annotated. Lineage: Eukaryota; Metazoa; Chordata; Actinopteri; Siluriformes; Ictaluridae. The transcript has 15 exons. The record is from RefSeq and is a predicted model, not a curated record.